AUGGGUUAACAGAGUCUGCCAGCCAAUUUUCGUUCGUUCGUUCGUUGGAUCGUCCAAGUCAAUAUGGGGUUAAAUAUGUCAGAAGUUGGGAUUCGUUAUUGUGUCUAGUAAUCCACCUAUAAUUUUUGCCUUUCUUGUUUAGAAGUUCUCGGUUUGGGGUUCGUCCGUGAUAUGCAACGAGGAGUGCUGCUACUUGGUGUGCUUAGAUGUAUAUACAUCAUCAUCUUGUAUAUCAUUUGUGGACAUAAUGGAUAUUAUAUUAGCCUGCUGGGGAGUUCUUUAGUUAAUUAACUGCAUUUCCUCUGAAGUUGUCACACCGCUGCUUUGUUUAAUCCUCUUAUUAUUAAGUUGAUUUUGUUAUUGCCGAUUGUCAAUAUGGCUGAAUUGGGCAUGUGAUCUUUUGUGUUAUUUCGAAGCAAGAUAUUAUGAGAGAGGUUGCAAAUAUCCCAAUGACAGUCAGGCUUCUAGUAGUAGUAGUAUUUGUUAAUGUGGAAUGUCACUAACUAGCACUGCAGGAUGGAAGCUCUCGUCUGAUGAAGCACAGUGGUUUCCUGUGUUCUUCACGGGGAGCCAGGCUGCUGCAUUUAUUUAUGUUUGUAUGUAUUUAUGUAUUUAUGUAUGAGCAGACGUAAAUGCUGGCUCUUGUGGUCAUGUAGGUAGCUGCACGGGAGAUAACCAUGAUUAUCUAUGUGUGCUGUAGCUUUUGGUUAUCUCGGAUUAUGUGAUGGUGUUUCAGACGUUUUAUUAGUGACUUUGUUGCUCAACUUUGGGCACUGAAUUUACUGAAAAUUGGUCAUGUAUUUUUUGCUAAAUAGGCAGCAGCUGCUGUUGUUACAAUCUGGGAGCAUGCUGGUGCUGUGCUGAUGAGCAGCUAGUUAAAAAAUUGCGUAAUUGAGAAGCUGAUGAGAUUUGACGAAAUGUCGGUCCAUGACCGUGCGUGUUAAUUACCUUGUGUCAGGCUGCGUUGUGCGCUUUAGUACUGAGGCAGGCAGGCAGGCGGACCAGCUGCUUGUGCAGGUCAGGUAACGUAACAUGUCUUGUCUCUAGGCCAUGCUUCUUGAUGAUAUGCUGUAUUAAGCUACCUGAGCUGUGCAAGACAGCCUCAUGUCUCUUGUGUCCCUGAAAUGAAAUUUUAUAUAUCCUGUCUAGUUAUUUGUUUUAUGAUCCAUGUAUGUGACCUGUGAGCCACCAUGGCUGUCAAAGAUCCUUGUGUCUGGGCCAGGCCUGGUGAUGCUGUGUUGAGAUACCUAAGCUGUGCAAAACUAAAUUUCUCCUGUUUACUGCAUAUGUUCGUAUGAUUCACUCACAGCCAGCAUGGUUCUCAAAGCACUAGCAUAUGUGCAUUAGUGCUUGGUAGCUGCUUUCUGCACUGUGUUGGGCAAAGGGCGCCUGCAUAUGUGCAUUACUAGUUACUUACCGGGACUGCUGCAUUGCAUUGCAUUUUUGCAUACCCUAUCCAUCCGUCCUGCACUUUCUGUUGAAAUGUAGACAUUCAUAGUUCCAUAUAAAUAUUGGAAUGUGCGGUGAGUGUGGUCUCAGCUGAAUUGUGUGUUUUCUUCCAGGAGGCGGCCAAAGAAGCACCACCACCUCGACCUCAACAUCCUCAGGGGACACACCGACUGCGUCACUGUGCUUGACUUCUCCAGCGACGCCUGCAACCUAACCACCGGUGAGCCUACCCUCAGCCUCCCAUUCGAUCAGGAUCUAUCAUGCUUACGCACAGAAACGUUUUAAUUUCCCCUCCUAUGGGCUAUUUAUUUGCUAGUUUUACAACGUGGGCAGUGUAUAAAAUUCUGGAAAUAAUCAUGUGUACAGAUUGCUGCAUGCAUGACCUCAUAAUCAGGUACUAGCUCCGUACAUAAUAUAAUAGCGUAUUCGAUUUUAUACUAGAGUACAUUACAUGUGAAUUGAGGUGUAGAUUAAACGUGACCUGGUUUUUCUAAGUAGAUGUGUAUUACAGUAUUAGGGUUUGCUUACGUAGUGGAGGCCCUUGUCUGAAGGGCUCAUCCUCCUUUAGCUCUUAGCUGGAGUAGUAGUAAGAACCUGCUUAAUUAGCUUGAGAUUAACCAUGUCAAACCUUAGUCACCCAAAGUUUAACCAACAAAAUAAGAGAGAGAAAUGAACAUUGCAAGCAUAAUUCAAUAGUACCACCUGAUCUAAAACAUCUUAUAUUAGCUUACAGAUCUUAUAUUAGUUUACAGAGUGAGUACUUCACAAGAAUCGAUAUGAGAUGCAUGCGUGUAGUAGGGGAUGAACAUGCAUGUAUGAUUCCAAAAAACGUGUGAUGUGAAAAAUACAUGAUUGUGGUGACAAAUAUGCAAGCCACGAUACGUUAGUGAUUAGCUCCAGACGGGUGUUCUAUUGCACCGUAUUUUCUUGCUGAGGAGACCCAUAGUAAAAAUAGAAAAUAUAUAGGAACAAAUAAGAAAAAUUUCCCAAGAAGACGUAUUCAACUAAAUACUGAUUUCUAACUUUAGGAGGACUAGGUACUCUCGGUCAAUAUGUUUCCUAUGAAUUUCAUUCGAAUUCCAUUUCUGUCCCGUGAUGGUUCAUCAAGAAUUGUUGAACAAAUAUAGUCCCCUUAGUGUUGGGCAUGCUAUUGUAGGUUCUUGUUUUUUGCUGCAUCAGUGAUCAGUCCAUGGUCUGAUGCUGAAUCCUUUGAUUGUUCUUGAUCCAUGAUCUGCCUUAUGGUUGUGUCAGUCUCUCUUUUACUCUUUUGCUAAGUUGUAGUGCAUCCAGAUGUUAGCAUUGUGGUGCUAGUUUGCUGGGUUUUGUUUCCGACCAUCGUGUCGUGAUGAUUUUGCAGGUACCCCGUGAGGCCCUUGAGUUUGCCGGAAUGUCGAUUAACUUCCGUUCCGGCAAAUUCGGGUACUCCAUAUGUCCUAUUUUCAGCAAAGGUCAUGCUGAAAUUUUCCGUGAAUUUUAGCAUGACUUUGCUAAAAAUAGGACAUAUGGGGUACUUGCGACUAAUGCAUGGGCUGGGGUAUCUUAGUACUUAAUUAAGUAGGAUCAAUUGCCCCUUUAUUCUUGCUGCAUUAAACCAUAGGUGGCAAUAGAGCCAAGUGAUUAGGCCCAACUUAGAAUUCUCCUUCCCUUUUCUUGAUAGGGUAUAUUAUUAGAAGAUACCCAUAUAUAUGAGUCAACCUAGGGUGCCUCAACAUUGAUUAACCUUAAAUGAUGAAAACUUAACUUAGCAUUUAGGGUGUCUCAGCAUCCACAAACCCUAAAUUAUAAAACCUUGGCUUUUAGGGUGUCUCGGUGUCAAUAAAAACCUAAAUGAUGAAACCUUAGGCUUUUAGGGUGCCUCGGCGUCGACAAUCCCUAAAUGAUAAAAGCUUAGCUUUUAGGAUGCCUCGAUGUCGACAAACCCUAAAUGAUGAGACCAUGAUCUUGUUCCUUGACAAUAACCAACUUUUUGACCAAACUUUUUUCCUAUUUAGAGCGAAACAUGGCCCACAACGAUGAGGCCGGCGGUUCGGGCAAGCCAUUCUGGGAGUUGUCCCAGGAGAUGGAGGAAGAACCUCACCGCUAUGAGGACGCCGCGGAAGACACCGAUCCCGAGUACACAACCACUAGUGGCGUCGGGGAUGACACCACUGAUGGUGCCGCCGAGGAUGCCACCACUAAUGAUGGCAGCGCACGCACAAAUGGCAGCCAAUCGAAGAGGCAAUGGAAGGACCGGCGCCCGAGCGUGCUCAGCACCGUAAAGGAGGAAUUUACUGAAAUGAACUCCGACGGGUAUCCAACGGCGCCCAAAGAAAUAGUCAAGGGGUACGCGGUUCAGNNNNNNNNNNNNNNNNNNNCGGUUCAGCUCGGGUGCAUUCUCCGGAGCACUGUCUCGAUCAACACCGAGAACCUAAGGCAUAAGGACCGAGGGAAUUUGCGCAACCUCCUCUUCACGAAGCUGCACGAACGAUACAAGUUCCCCGGUGACGUCGCAAACACACGCCUCUCAAGGAAUAAAGUGAAUAGUGCCGCCCUCACGAAGAUGAGCAAGGCCCUGUCUACUUGGAGAAGCGUGGUGAAGAGAAUGAUUGACCAAGGUGAUAGUUAUGAGAAGAUCAAGGCGAAAAAUCCUUCGAUCAACGAAGAUGACUACAAGGAGUUCAAGAUCAAGUGCGAGAGCAAGGCAACCGCGGAACCAAGGCAAUGGGGGAAAGAAAUGCGGGAGUUGAACUUAGGGGUCCACCAACUCGGUCCCGACGGUUGCAGAGUGGCGGAACCUAUAUGGGGCAAGGAGGACGCGGAGCGUGCCGAGCAAGGCCUACCACCCCGCUUCGAGAAAUACGGUGGCAAGCAGACCAGGAACUAUGUCAGGGCCCGGUACAAGGUGGACCCAGUAACAAAGGAGCUUACCACGGAUGCGAAGACCAGGGCGCUUGAGCGUGUUCUGGUAAGGAAUACACCCCACGUAAUUAGAUCCAUAUGGUUGCAUUCUAAUUAAUGAAGCCAAAUUUCUAAAUUGUUCAUUCCUUCCGCAGGACACUGAAAGCAGUAGCGCGGGGUCGUCUCAGAGCUCCAAUUGGGACACCAAUUUAAAUAGGGCGUUUAACAUAAUGAAAAACAAGGAUAAGUCCAGUAAGCCGUCGUCAACUGGUCGUGUGGCCGGCAAAGGCUUGUCCACGAAAUGGUCGUCAUACUAUAACGCUGGUGUGCGAAAGGAGAGAAAUACCAACUUGGAAAGCCAGUCGCGCGAGGUUCAAGAACUCAAGGAAAAAGUGGCACGGAUUCCGGAGAUGGUCCAAGAGCUAGUGCAACACCAAGUGGGAGGGGUGAUCACCACCAUUGUGCCUACCUUGAUUGAGGGGCUGCAGGCGUGGAUUGCGGGCGGCCAACAGGGGCCGCCCCCGAUUCCUAGCUUCACGGCCAGCAACUCGCACAACGCGCAGGCGACGCCAUUGGAGUCUCCGGCGCCGGCCAGCACCUCGGCAGCAAUCGCCCCCUCCAUCACUUGCACGCCCGCCGUUGGCGGUGCCUCGACAUUAGCCGAGCUCGACACCAUCAUGGUAACUAAGCCUCUCUCGGCCGAUGACUUCAUCUCCUUGCCUUUGACUGGGCAUCCCCUGACGCCCUACAUGUUUUCGCAGGGCGCCGGCGCCGACGUCCCAUGCACUCUCCUGCACUUCAUGGGUGGCGAGUUGAUCGAUGUCGCCAAGGGCAGAAUCGUUCAACCAGGCAACCCCAUGUUCCACGGUAAACCGAUGCCACCCACCAUGUAUAGGGUUAAACUGGUUCGGGUGCUGCCAGGUUGCGACGACUUGUUACCUCCGUUCCACCCCGCUGGGGCCGACAAAGAUGAUGUGAUGACCCUCAGCGCCUGCUUAAGCUGGCCCUUGCUUUGGCCGAAGAGCCAGAUUCAUUUGGGGGCGGGGGACACCACCCCACAGACAACACCGCGAGUCGUGCCGGCGCCAAGCCAUGGCAAGACCGCCGCAACGCUACCGGACAUGCAUAUGGCACAGGAUUCGGACAUGCAUAUGGCACAGGAUCCGGACGACGACGAUGGUACAUUUACCAAGGUCGAUAAGUACUUUGCCGAACAUGGGUACGGUGAGGAGUUCUUGGGGCCUCCUUCUCAAGAACCCAACCCUGCAAAAGACGACCGCGAUCUAGCUGGUACCGCGGAGAAACCCAAUUGCAACAGGCGUUGUCUGGCGUUUAGUUUUGAGGAGACGCCUCCAGCUGCCACCUUCACCGAGCCUCAGAUAGCCGAGGUGCGAAAUAUUAUCAGCCCCAACACACUCAAGAAGGUGGUCUCUGAGAAGAUGAACUCGAUCCCAUUACAUCAACAGAAGAAGGAACGGAAAAGAAAGACUAACAAGGGUGCGAGCCAGCCGGCACUGAGUACGAUCCGUGCUCUGGACGGGCCAGCUUCACCUAAGGAUAUCUCGAGGAGGGUGCAUGUGGCGGGUAGGCCGAUGCUACCGACUAAUCUGCUCAAUGCUGCAACCGGUGCUAUGCGGAGUCUGCAUGACAGUGUUCUUUGUUUGGAGAAGCGGCGUCUCUCCGAGAAUAAUGUGGCAUACCCGGUUUUCGUGGCCAGGGUGCCAGAGGGCAAGGGCUUUGUCGAUAGCGCCAUCGGGGGUAUGAUCGUCCUGCGGUUUGCUGACAUCUUCGCUAUGUUUAACCUUCAUCCGCUGCACUACACCUUCGUUCGGCUAUUUUCGCUGAGUAUGGAGAUGUGGAUCAUUAGAGACAAGACCCCGGACCUAGUGAUAGUCGACCCCUUCUAUAUGCGUGCCAAGAUCUUGGACAGCGCUGGGGACCGGCAAGUCGCGAGUUCAUACCUCGAAGGCAUCAUUCUGGCAAACUCAGAAAAGGAUAACUUCCUCGUGCCUUACUUACCCUAGUAAGUUAUCCCGUCAUCGCCCCGUAACAUAUGAUUUCUUAGAUUUUGAUCAUCCUUUUUUUCUAACAUUCCGUGUUUUGUGCAGUGACACACGUUGCACACUCAUCCUCUUAAGCCUGAAAUAUUCCACGACCACGUAUUUCGACUCGGACCGUCAGUCAAAAAAAGACUACACAAAUAUCAAGAAAGUUCUUGAUGAAGCUCUUCCCGGCUACGCCAUAUCUGGAGGCUCCUUCAGCACGACAAGUCUCAGGCACGGCAAGCACGUGUUCAUCUACAAUACGACGUUCGCCUGCGUCAAGCAGCUGCCUGCCAGUCAGAAGGAUGCCUACUACGCCCUCCAUCACAUGCGGGCGAUCAUACGGGACAAUAAUCACCUUCGGCUACCAAAUAAUCUCAAAGAUUGGUCCGCACGCUUGUCGGCAAUCCAGGAUGCGGACAUCAGACAAGAAUUCUUUCGCAUCCAGUCGGAGUUUGCGGAAAUCAUCCAUCAAGAUGUCCUUCGUACCUCGGGACAGUUCUACCUCAGAUCUCCGCUGUCCAAUAGUGAGAUAGAUACAAUGCUACAAAUGCAGGCUGACAACGACCGCAAUUUCAUGACCAUCACGAAAGACGGCGGCUUCAUCCACGUUCCCGUGAAUCGGUACUAAUUCAUUUUGCAAUAUUAAACUUUAAUGAACUUGUAUGUCUCUUUGGUUUGCACAGUUGUUCAACUUAUAUAUAAUCGAUGCUAUUUAUUAGUAGGACCAUGAAUCGUGCUGUUAUAGUUGUAAUAUUAAACUUUAAUGAACUUGUAUGUCUUUGUGAAUUGGUACUAACGUUUUGUUUGGCUAGUGCAUAGAGAUGCCGUCGUAUGUCGUGUACAAGGGUAAGGUUCCUGGAGUCUACGACGACUGGGAGGAGUGUCGGAGACAGGUUCAUCGAUUCAGCGGUAACAGUUACAAAGGGUACACCACAAGGGCGGAGGCGGAAGUUAGAUACGCGCGCUAUCUAGCGGGAGAGAGGAGGGAGCGUUGGAGGAACCGGAUGAAGACCAGUUUCAUUACGAUUAUGCUCAUCGUGAUGACCGCAACUGUCUUCUAUGUCAUGGUAGUCUAGAUGGUCGACAUCGACUUGUAAUGUGAAGACAAACUCGCUACUCGCGGUCUCAAGACUUGUAAUGUUCUAACUUUGUUCGGUAUUUUAAAUUCGGAGACUAAUAUGAUGAAUUGUAUUCGGAGACAAAUCUUCUAUUGUAUUCGAUAAAUCUGUUGUUUAUAUGUUGUGCUAUCUAUAUUGUGUGCAAUAAUAUAUUUUGUAAUCUGUGCAAAUAUCAGAAAAAAUAAAAUAAAUACCUAAUAUUCAUACUAGUGGCGCAUCACUCAGCACACUAGUGCGCCAUUAGUAAGCCAGAGCAUAUGGGUAAAUAUGGCCCUGGGAGGCAUACUAAUGGCGCACCAUAAGCUAUACUAAUGGCGCACUAGUAUCUAUACUAAUGGCGCACCAGGAUCUAUACUAAUGGCGCACCGGGAUCUAUACUAAUGGCGCACUACUUGGUGCGCCAUUAGUAUACCAGAUACUAAUGGCGCACCGUGAGCAAUACUAAUGGCGCACUGCCUGGUGCGCCAUUAGUAUACCAGAUACUAAUGGCGCACUUGUGGUGCGCCAUUAGUAAAAAAAUCUAAUGGCGUGAUGCUAGUGGCGCACCUAUAGUGCGCCAUUAGUAGCCAAAAUAGGUGCGCCAUUAGCAAGCCUUUUCCUAGUAGUGUCAUAUUAAUCCCCCCUCCACCAUAACUCCCUCUCCAUUAGUUAGAUAUCUAGAUUCACCUCUCCUCCCCAACAACUAGAUCUAGCUAGCUAUUUAGCCAUCCACGUGAUGCGCCUCCGUCGAAUCUACUUUUUCGAACUCUUUUGCCCUUGUUUUGGACUCUAAUUUGCAAGAUUUGAAUGGAACUAACCCGGACUAACGUUGUUUUCAGCAGAAUUGCUAUGUUGUUGUUUUGUGCAGAAAUAAAAGUUCUCGAAAUGACCUGAAAAUUUACGGAGAAUUUUUCUGGAAUUAAUGAAAAAUACCUGCCCAAAGAUCCACCGGAGGAGGUGAACCAGUGGGCCACAGGCCCGGGAGGCGCGGCCACCCCCUGUGGCGAAAUCAUCGCCAUCAUCAUCAUCAACCUUCCUUCAUCGCCAGUUCCAUGAUGCUCUUCACCGUUCGCGAGUAAUCUCAGCGUAGGCUUGCUGGACGGUGAUGAGUUGGAUGAGAUCUAUCAUGUAAUCGAGUUAGUUUUGACGGGGAUUGAUCCCUAGUAUCCACUAUGUUCUGAGAUUGAUGUUGCUACUACUUUGCUAUGCUUAAUGCUUGUCACUAGGGCCCGAGUGCCAUGAUUUCAGAUCUGAACCUAUUAGAUUUUCAUCAAUAUCUGUGUGUUCUUGAUCCUACCUUGCAAGUUGUAGUCACCUACUAUGUGUUAUGACCCGGCAACCCCGGAGUGACAAUAGCCGGAACCACUCCCGGAGAUGACCAUAGUAUGAGGAGUUCAUGUAUUCACCAAGUGUUAAUGCGUUGGUCCGGUUCUUUAUUAAAAGGAGAACCUUAAUAUCCUGUUGUUUUCAUUAGGACUCCGCUGCCAUGGGAGGUGUGGAAAAUAGAUUUCAUGCAAGUUCUUUUCCCUAUUUCAUACGGAAUACAUGCCUACAUUAGAUUGACGAACGGGAGCUAGUUACAUAUCUCUCCGUCUUAUAACUAUUGCAUGAUGAAUCACAUCCGGCAUAAUCAUCCAUCACCGAUCCAAUGCCUACAAGUCUUUUACUACUGGUCCUUGCUACGUUACUCUGUCAGUACUGCUAUUAUUGUUGCUACUGCUGCUAUCAUACUACCUUGCUACUGAUACUUUGCUGCAUGUACUAAAUCUUUCAGGUGUGGUUGAAUUGACAACUCAACUGCUAAUACUUGAGAAUAUUCUUUCGCUUCCCCUUGAGUCGAAUCAAUAAAUUUGGGUUGAAUACUCUACCCUCGAAAACUGUUGCGAUCCCCUAUACUUGUCGUUUAUCAAGACAUUUUUCUGGCACCGUUACCGGGGAAGCACAACUAUAUUCUCUGAGUAACUUGGGAUUUUUGUCUAAUGGUCACUAUGAGGAAUCCGAUAGAUCCAAGAACUAAAGUCUUGCCCUCAACUACGAGGACAGGUAAGGAACUGCCAUCUAGCUGUGCACUUGAUUCACCUUCAGUUAUGAGUAAGUUUGCGACAUCACCUCCUCCUAGAAAUCUUGAUAUGUCGCCUGUGCUUGAUGAUGCUACUUCUGCUGCCCAUGAUUCUUAUGAUGGUGCUAUGCUUGAUACCGUUUUGCCUGAUGAUGCUAUGCUUGAUACUCCUUUGCCUGAUGACGCUAUGCUUGAUACUGCUUUGCCUGAUGAUGCUAUGCCUGAUACUGCUUUGCCACUAGGUGCAUUCCUUGAUGCACAAAUUGCUCGAAUUGCUGCUAGAUGUGAUGAUACUUCUGAAACUGCUGAUACUAUUGAAGUUGAACCUGCUAUUUUGCCAGCUAGAACUAGCUCUCCUAUGCCUCAUAUGCCUAAACUUUAUGUUAUGGAGGGAAAGAUAGCUGAGGAUUUUCUUGCUUGUAAGGAUAGCUAUGAUAUUGAGAAAUUACUUUGACCCGAAGUUUGCUACUUCGCCUAUCUUUGUGACCGAUAAGGAUUAUGAAUUAUCUGUCGACCCUGAGUUAAUCACCCUGGUCGACUCUGAUCCUUUUCACGGUUAUGAGUCUGAAACGGUUUCAUAGCAAAGACUCUUUGUGACUCUAGCUGAAAUUCUAUUGAAUAACAUCUUGUGGAAUGAGAAUGCCUGGACUAUUCCUGAACCACCUCCUAAGACAACUCCGAAGAAAAGAGGUAUUCUAUUCCUCAGUCCUGAAGAUAUGCAAGAAGCUAAGAAAUCUAUGCGAGAGAAAGGCAUUAAAUCUGAAGAUGUAAAAAAUCUACCACCUAUCGAAGACAUCUAUGGUCUUGAUAACCCGAUACGGGUAGUAGAAGUAAAUUCUCUGCGUAGGUUUGAUGAGAGUGAUAUUCCUUUUGAUAAACCUGCUAGCCUAUGCCUAGAUGAAUUUGAUAACUUUGUUGCCAAACAACAGAGUUUCAAUGAUUAUGUUAGCAGACAAUUGGAACAGAAUGCUCGUAUGCUUAGUCAUUUAAGUGCUUGUGUGGAUAGAAACGUCAAUGAUCUUAAGCUUCUGAGUAAGCAUGCCUCUAUGGUUACUACUCAGGUAGAACAAGUACUUAAGGCUCAGAAUGACUUGCUCAAUGAGUUGAAUGACAAUUCCGUUAGAGUCGUCACUACAGGCGGUAGAAUGACCUAGGAACCUUUGUAUCCUGAGGGUCAUCCGAAGAGAAUUGAACAAGAUUCUCAAGGAGUUAGCACUAGCAACCCUGUUGCUGCUACACCUGAGAGUCCAAACAAUGUCUCUGUCUCUGAUGCUGAAACACAAUUUGGUGAUGAACAUGAGCCUAAUGAUAAUAUCAAUAGUGAUGUUCAUGAUGAUGCUCAACCUAGCAAUGAUAAGGAUGUGGAAAUUGAACCUGUUGAUCUUGAUAACCCACAGCCUAAGAAUAAGAAAUACGAUAAGAAUGACUUCGCUGCUAGGAAGCAUGGUAAAGAAAGGGAACCAUGGGUUCAGAAACCCAUGCCCUUUCAUCCCAAACCAUCCAAGAAAAAGGAUGAUGAGGAUUUUGAGCGAUUUGUUGAAAUGAUCAGACUUGUCUUUCUGCAAAUGCGUUUGACAGAUAUGCUCAAAAUGUCUUUGUAUGCGAAGUACAUGAAAGAUAUUGUGACUAAUAAGAGGAGGAUACCUGAGGUUGAGAUUUACACCAUGCUCGCUAAUUAUACCUUCAAGGGUGGAAAUCCCAAGAAACUAGGUGAUCCCGGUGUGCCCACUAUACCUUGCUCCAUUAAAGGCAACUACGUUAGAACUGCUUUAUGCGACCUUGGAGCCGGUGUUAGUGUUAUGCCUCUCUCUCUAUAUCGUAGGCUUGAACUGGAUAAGUUGACACCCACUGAAAUCUCUCUGCAAAUGGCCGACAAAUCAACUGCUUUACCUAUCGGCAUUUGCGAGGAUGAGCCUGUUGUGGUUGCUAAUGUCACUAUCUUAACAAAUUUUGUUAUAUUGGAUAUUCCCGAGGACGAUGCCAUGGCGGUCAUCCUCGGAAGACCCUUUUGAAACACUGCAGGGGCUAUUAUAGAUUGCGACAAAGUCAAUGUCACUUUCCAUGUCAAUGGUAAUGAGCAUACGGUGCACUUUCCGAAGAAACAAUAUCGAGUACAUUGCAUCAAUGCUAUCGAAAAAACUUCAUCGGUUCUUGUUGGGAGCUUUGAAUGCCCUAUUCCUACUGUCAAGAUGAAGUAUGAUUUGCUUGUUGGGGAGAUACACAUCCCCAUUGAGGUGACCUAGUGACUAUUCGAAAAUUCUCCGUUCUCUUUUGCGAUUCAAAAAGGUUGGUCGAGGAGACUUGAUCAACCUCAUUGAUGGAUUUUCUUUCGAUGACCAUGAGAUGGAUGAAUCGAGGAGUCACAAACCGCUGUUCCAAGCUUUCACCUUCGGUUUCUUAGAAGAAAAAUGAUAGGUUUAGUUUAGUUUUCCCUCUUUUCUGUUUUAGCGUCCGGUAGAAAAGUACCCCGAAAAUAAAAGUUCUCCGAACGUCCUGAAAAUCAAGUAUGAUUUUUUCUGGAAUUUUUGAAAAAUACCGAGACAAAGAGCUUGCCUGGGGGUUGCACCAGUGGGCCACAAGCCCUCGAGGCGCCGGCACCCCCCCUAGUCGCGAGUACCUAGCUUGUGGGUCCCACGUGCACCCCUCCACUCAUUCUUGCUCUCAUCUGGUUCUCGUACCUCCAGAAAAAAUCGUUUCGCAGCUCAAACCUUUGUUCUUGCUCCUCUUGCUGGGAUUUUCGAUAUCUUUGCUCAAAGCACCAUUCUCCGAACUGUUUUGGGGAAAUUACUCCUUGGUAAGUGACUCCUCCAUUGGUCCAAUUAGUUUUUGCUCUAGUGCCUUAUACUUCGCGUAUUUUUGCUGCCUUGGUGACCAUGUUCUUGAGCUUUGCAUGCUAAUUUUAGCUGGUCCCAAGUAGUUUUGAUGCAUAAUAUGGCCUCUAGGCACUUGUGGGGGUAGUUGCUACUAGUUUAGUUGAGCCUUGUUCACUUUUCCUUUGGGUCACUGAAAAUUUCAGAAAAGGAAGAUGUUUAGGAGAAACUAUCAUGGUGGUUCCUCAAGCAAGAGAGGUCCCCGUCUUGCGACUCGGGAGCCCGAUCCUUACCAACCAAGGGACGUGCAGGUACAACCAUGUGAAUGGCCUUCUGAUGAAUUUAUGAUUGAGGCAGGUUUCAAAGAUGAGUUUGAUGCACUUGUUCACGACGUCGGACUCGAAGAAUUCAUCUCCGAUAAAUGUGGACAGUAUGUUGCUCUCACUGCCUCUUUUGUUCGUAGAUUCAAAUUCUCAGUUGGCCGUGACACAUCCGUACUAUUUGAUCUCUAUGACAAAUCGUAUACCAUGGAUUUUGAGGAUUUCAAUAGAAUUUGCAAGGUACCUAUUUGGGGUAGUCUCAAUGAUCCUCCUAAAUCUUCGGUUAGAGAUUUUUUCUCUGGUAUAAUUGUUGGAGAAACUAGAGAUAUUACGCAGGCUACCAUGGGGAGCGUUCAUUUUCCUGCCUUGCAUUAUUUUGCCCUCUUCAUAGGAAGAUGCUUUAAUGGCAAGAUUGAGCAUUGUCACCUCUGCGCACCCGACCUUAGUAUCCUUAAGAGCGCAGUAACGGGUGAUAAAAGUUUCAACAUGGGAGCUAUUAUAGCAAGGAGGCUGAAUAAUAAUGCUAAUGAAGGGGGUUUCUUUGGUGGGAUCUAUGCCACUCGCACAGCAAAUUUUCUUGGAGUACCCAUCCAUGAAGGAGAUCCCCCUCUCCAUACGACUUUCCUUGAUCUCGCCGCUUUGACACGCUACCAGUUCAUUGAGAGGCAUGAUCAAUCCCUCCUAUACCGUUUGAUAUUUAACCGGCAGUGUGUUUUCCGUAUUACCCUUCCUGCUCCUGCCUUCUUUCACUUUCAGGUAAAACGGAGAUAUUACAUAACCAGAGGAGAGGCAGAGGAGUAUGAGAGGGAGGCAAAGGUUGCUCGUCAACGUGAGGCAGCUAUUCAGGCAGUGGCUGCAGCGCUCCCGUAUAACCCCCAUUAUGAAGUUGGGUAUUGAUACGAAUCCAUCGUAUCUACUUUUCCAAACUCUUUUGCCCUUGUUUUCGACUCUAAUUUGCAUGAUUUGAAUGGAACUAACCCGGACUGACGCUGUUUUCAGCAGAAUUGCCAUGGUGUUGUUUUCGUGUAGAAAUGAAAGUUCUCGAAACGUCCUGAAAAUUUACGGAGAAUAUUGCUGGAAAAUAUGAAAAAUACCUGCGCAAAGAUCCACCGAAGGGGAUGGGCCAGUGGGCCACAAGCCCUGUAGCGGCCGCCCCCCUGGUGGCCGCUAUCAAGCUUGUGGGGCCCACAUGGCUCUGCCGCCCAUUAACUCAGCUCUAUAAAUUCACUUUCGUCCUAGAAAAAAAAUCAAGAGAGGAGAUUUCAUCGCGUUUGCGAUACGGAGGCGCCGCCACAUCCUGUUCUUCAUCUGGAGGGCAGAUCUGGAGUUUGUUUUGGGCUCCGGAAAGGGAAAUCGUCGCCAUCGUCAUCAUCAACCUUCUUCCCUCUCCAAUUCCAUGAAGCUCUUCAUCAUUCGUGAGUAAUCUAUUCGUAGGCUCGCUGGGCGGUGAUGAGUAGGAUGAGAUCUAUCAUGUAAUCGAGUUAAUUUCGAUGGGGAUUGAUCCCUAGUAUCCACUAUGUUCUGAGAUUGAUGUUCCUACUACUUUGCCAUGCUUAAUGCUUGUCACUAGGGCCCGAGUGCCAUGAUUUCAGAUCUGAAAUUAUUAUGUUGUGACCAAUAUAUGUGUGUUUUAGAUCUGAUCUUGCAAGUUGUAGUUACCUACUAUGUGUUAUGAUCCGGCAACCCUGGAGUGACAAUAACCGGAACCACUCCCGGUGAUGACCAUAGUUUGAGGAGUUCAUGUGUUCACCAAGUGCUAAUGCGUUGUUCUGGUUCUUUAUUAAAAGGAGAACCUUAAUAUCCCAUAGUAUCCUUUUGGACCCCACUGCCACGGGAGGGAUGGACAAUAGAUGUCAUGCAAGUUCUUUUUCCCUAAGCACGUAUGACGACACACGGAAUGCAUGCCUACAUCACAUUGACGAACGGGAGCUAGCCACAUAUCUCUCCGUGUUAUAGCUAUUGCAUGAUGAAUGUCAUCCAGACAAAUCACCGACCCAUUGCCUACGAGUUUGUCCCACUGCUGCUGCUGUUACUUGUUUUGCUCUGCUGCUGUUACUAUUGUUGCUGCUGUUGUUACUUGUUUUGCUCUGCUGCUGUUACUACUGUUGCUUGGUGCUGCUACUUGCUACUGUUGCUACUUGCUACUCCUUUCACUACUGCUGUUCCUUGCCACUUUUGUUACUCGUUACACUGUUGCUACCUGCUAAAAUACCUUUUCUCGCACCGUUGCCCGGAAAGAAUAUUUCCCGUCCACGGGCAACUUCUGGCGCCAUUGAUACAACAGUUAGGAAUAGUCUGCCGUCAACAGAUCGUUUCUGGCACCGUUGCUAUCAAAUACUUUGCUACUCAUACUUUGCUUGCAGAUACUAAUCUUUCAGGUGUGGUUGAAUCUAACGCAUUCAGCUGCUAAUACUUGAGAAUAUCCUUUCACUUCUUGUCGGGCGAACCAAGAAAUUUGGGUUGAAUACUCUACCCUCGAAAAUUGCCGCGAACCCACGCGCUGGUGGGCCAUUGCAAGACAAUUGAUAAUUGUUGAGAAACUGGGAGCAGUUCUGGCUCCGUUGCCGCGGAGGCAUCAAGUCAGGAACACGUCGACAACAUUUUUCUAGUGUCGUUGCCAGGGACUGCUAGUAGCAUUUUUUCUGGCGCAGUUGCCGGGGAAGGGAUUGCUAUAUUCUCUAAGUCACUUGGGAUUCAUAUCUGCUGAUCACUAUGAAGAAUCUGAAAGAUCCAAAAACCAAAGUUUUGCCCUCAACUACGACGGGAGGUAAGGAACUGCCAUCUAGCUCUGCACUUGAUUCACCUUCAGUUAUGUGUAAGUUUGCGACACCACCUCCUGCUAGAAAUCUUGAUAUGUCGCCUAUGCUUGAUGAUGCUUAUGAUGCUACUAUGCCUGAUACUGCUAGAGAUGUUAUGCCUGAUACUACUAGAGAUGCUAUGCUUGAUACUGCUAGAGAUGCUAUGCUUGAUACUCCUUUGCGUGAUGAUGCUAGAGAUGAUAUUUUGCCUGAUGAUGCUAUGCUAGAUACUGCUUUGCCUGAUGAUGCUAGAGAUGCUAUUUGGCCUGAUGAUGUUAUGCUUGAUACUGUUAGAGAUACUACUUUGCCAGAUAUGCCACUAGGGGUAUUCCUUGAUGAUCAUAUUGCUAGAGUUACUGCCAAUGCUCGUGAUGCUUCUAAAACUACCAAUACUAUUGAGAUAGAACCUGCUUUUGCUCCUGCUAGAUCUAGCUCUCCUAGAUAUGAAUUUCCUGAUAUACGCGAGGGUUAUGUUAUGGAGGGAGAGAUAGCUGAGGAUUUUCUUACAUGUAAGGAUGCCUAUGAUGCUGAGAAAUUACUUCUCAAGUGGAAGGAAAAAUCUCUGAAAGCUAGGAUGAAAUACGACCCGAAGUUUGCCACUUCACCUAUCUUUAUCACCGAUAAGGAUUAUGAAUUCUCUGUCGACCCUGAGAUAAUCUCUCUAGUCGAAUCUGAUCCUUUCCACGGUUAUGAGUGUGAGACGGUCGUAGCCCAUCUUACCAAACUACACGAUAUAGCCACCCUUUUCACUAGUGAGGAGAAGAUCUGCUACUACUAUAUCCUUAAGCUAUUUCCUUUCUCUCUAAAGGAUGACGCUAAAUCCUGGUUCACUUCUCUUGCUCCUGGAUGUGUGAGUAGUCCCCAGGAUAUGGUAUAUUACUUCUGUGAGAAAUAUUUCCCUGCCCAUAAGAAGCAAGCUGCCUUGCAGGAAAUAUACAACUUUGCUCAACUCAAAGAAGAGAGUCUCCCACAAGCUUGGGGGAGGCUCAUCCAGCUAUAGAAUGCUUUGCCUGGUCACCCGCUUAAGAAUAAUGAGAUACUUGAUAUCUUCUAUAACGGACUUACCGAUGCUUCUAGAGACCACCUAGAUAGUUGUGCCGGUUGUGUUUUUAGGGAACGAACUAUAGAACAAGCUGAGAUUCUACUGAAUAACAUCUUGAUCAACGAUAAUGCUUGGACUAUUCCCGAACUACCUCCUAAGCCAACUCCUAAGAAAAGAGGUAUUCUAUUCCUCUGUCCCGAAGAUAUGCAAGAAGCCAAGAAAUCUAUGCAAGAGAAAGGCAUUAGAUCUGAAGAUGUCAAAAAUCUAUAACCUAUCGAAGAGAUCCAUGGUCUCGAUAACCCGAUACAAGUCGUAGAAGUGAUUUCUCUGCGUAGGUUUGAUGAGAGUGAUAUUCCUUUUGACAAACCUGCUAGCCUAUGCUUUGAUGAAUUUGACAACUUUGUUGCCAAACAACAAAGUUUCAAUGAUUAUGUUAGCAGACAUUUGGAACAAAGUACUUGUAUGCUUAGUCAUUUAAAUGCUUGUGGAGACCGAAAUGUCAAUGAUCUGAAGCUUCUGAGUAAACAUGCCUCUAUGAUUACUACUCAGGUAGAACAAGUACUUAAAGCUCAGAAUAACCUGCUCAAUGAAUUAAAUGACAACUCUGUCAGAGUCAUUAAUAGAGGAGACAAAAUGACUCAGGAACCUUUGUAUCCUGAAGGCCAUCCUAAGAGAAUUGAUCAAGAUUCUCAAGGAAUUAAUGCUGAUGCACCCAGUCAUCCUAAGAAGAAGAAGGGUGAUAGAAACCUACAUGUCAGUUCACAAAAUACUGUCACACCUGAAGAACCAAAUGAUAUUUCUGCGUCUGAUGCAGAAACACAAUCUGGUGAUGAACAUGAACCUGGUGACAAUAUGGACAACGAUGUUCAUAAUGAGGCUCAACCUAGCAAUGAUAAGGAUGUGGAGAUUGAACCUACGGUUAAUCCUGAUAACCCACAACCUAAGAGAUACGAUAAGCAUGACUUCUCUGCUAGGAAGCAUGGUAAAGAAAGGGAGCCAUGGGUUCAGAGACCCAUGCCCUUUCCUCCUAAGCCAUCCAAGAAAAAGGAUGAUGAGGAUUUUGAGCGCUUCGUUGAGAUGAUAAGACCCGUCUUUGUGCAGGUGCGGUUAAUUGAUAUGCUCAAAAUGUCUCUAUAUGCCAAGUACAUGAAAGAUAUCGUGACUAAUAAAUAGAAGAUACCAGAUCUUGAGAUCUCCAACAUGCUUGCCAAUUACACUUUCAAAGGUGGAACUCCGAAGAAACUUGGUGAUCCCGGAGUGCCCACUAUACCUUGCUCCAUUAAAGGAAACUACGUAAGAAAUGCCUUAUGUGACCUUGGAGCCGGUGUUAGUGUUAUGCCACUCUCUCUUUAUCGUAGACUUGAACUGGAUAAGUUGACACCCACUGAAAUCUCUCUGCAAAUGGCCGACAAAUCAAUUGGUUUCCCUAUCGGCAUUUGCGAGUAUGUGCCUGUUGUGGUUGCUAACACCACUAUCUUAACAGACUUUGUUAUUUGGAUAUUCCUGAGGACGAUGCCAUGGAUGACAUCCUCGGAAGACCCUUUUUAAACACUGUAGGGGCUGUUAUAGAUUGCAACAAAGGCAACGUCACUUUCUGAAUGAGCAUACAGUGCACUUUCCGAAGAAACGGUAUCAAGUACAUUGCAUCAAAGCUAUCGAAAAAACUUCAUCGAUUCUUAUUGGGAGCUUUGAAUGCCCUAUUCCUCGUGUCAAGAUGAAGUAUGAUUUGCUUGUUGGGGAGAUUCAUAUCCCCAUUGAGGUGACUUAGUGGCUAUUCGACAAUUCUCCGUUUCCUUUUGCGAUUCGAAAAAGUUUUGUCAUGAGGAUUUGUCCUCUUGCGAUUCGAAAAGGUUUUGUUAUGAGGAUUUGAUCAACCCCAUUGACGGAUUUCUUUCGAUGACCAUGCAAUGGAUGAAUCAAAGAGUCACAUACCUUUGUUUUAAGCUUUCACUUUCUGUUUCUUCGAAGAAAAAUGAUAGAUUUAGUUUAGUUUUUCCUGCUUUCUGUUUUAGCGUCCUGGAGAAAAAUACCCCGUAUAUAAAACUUCUCCGAUGGUCCUGAAAAUCUAGUAUGAUUUUUUCUGUAUUUUUUGAAAAAUACUGGGACUGAGAGCUGGCCUGGGGGCCACACCAGUGGGCUACAACCCCUGUAGCCGCCGCCUCCCCCCCUGGUGGCGGCUACCAAGCUUGUGGGGCCCACAGGGACACCCUCCACUCAUUCCACCUCCCAUCCUCUUCUUCUACCUCCAGAAAAAAUCGUUUCGCAGCUCAAACCCGUGUUCUUGCUCAUUUGGCUGAUAUUUUCGAUCUCCUUACUCAAAGCACCAUUCUCCGAACCGUUUUGGGAAAAUUACUCCUUGGAAGUGACUCCUCCAUUGGUGACCCUGUUCUUGAGCUUGAAAUGUUGAUUUUUGCUAGUCCCAAGUAGUUUUAGCGCGUGAUACGGUCUCUUGGCACUAGUAGGAGUAAUUGCUACAAGGUGUGGUAGGUCUUCAUUCACUUUUCUCUUGAACUUCAAAAAUUUCAGCAAAAGGAAAUUAUGUUCAGGAGGAAGUUUCAUGGUGGUUCCUUAAGUAAGAAGGGUCCCCGUCUUUCUAUUUGGGUGUCCGAUCCUUAUCAACUAAGGGACGCACCGGUACAACCAUGUGAAUGGCCUUCCGAUGAGUUCAUGAUCGAAGCAGGCUUCAAGGAUGACUUUGAUACACUUGUCCGCAAUGCCGGGUUAGAAGAAUUCCUCUACGAUAAAUGUGAACAGUAUGCUAUGCUCACUGCCUCUUUCGUGCGUAGAUUUAAAUUUUCAGUUGGCCGUGACUCCUCCAUACUGUUUGAUCUGUAUGAUAAAUCGUACACCAUGGAUUUGGAGGAUUUCAAUAGGAUUUGCUAGAUACCGGAUGGGGGUAGUCUUAAUGAUCUUGCUAAGUCUUCGGUUAGAGAUUUUGUCUCUAGUAUAACUGUUGGAGAAACUAGAGACAUCACGCAAGCUACCAUAGGAAGCAUUCUUUUCCCUGCCUUGCACUACUUUGCCCUCUUCAUAGGUAGAUGCAUUAACGUCAAGGUUGCACAUUGUCACGUAUGCGCAUCCGACCUUAGUAUCCUGAAGAGCGCAAUAACAGGUGACAGGAGCUUCAACAUGGCAGCUAUAAUGGUAAGGAGGCUGAAUAAUAAUGCCAUUGAUGGGGAUUUCUUUUGUGGAAUUCAUGCUACGCGCUUAACAAAUUUUCUUGGAGUACCCAUCCGUUCAGGAGACCCCCCUCUCCGUACAGCCUACCUUGAUCGUGUCUCUCUAACACGCUACCAGUUCCUUGAGAGGGAUGAUGAAUCCCUCCUAUACCGUUUGAUAUUUAACCGGCAGCGUGUUUUCCAUAUUACCCUGCCUGCUCCUGCUUUCUUUGACUUUCAGGUAAAAUGGAGAUACUACAUAGCUAUAGGAGAGGCAGAGGAGUAUGAGAGGGAGGCAACGGCUGCUCGUCUUCGUGAGGCGGCUAUUCAGGCAGUGGCUGCAGCACUCCCGUAUAACACCCAGUAUGAUUUUGGGUUUCGCCAGGACCGUCCAUGGGAGUAGACCAAGCUAGGCCAAAAGCCUAAGCUUGGGGGAGUACGUGUUCUCACCGACCUUACAUUCAUGCUUAUGCUUUCACUUUGUUAGUCGGUGUUUACACUUUGCCACUGUAUUAUCCAUGCUAGUUUAUUUUCGUUUUCUUGUUUUCUUGUUUUGUGUCCUUCUGAGAAAACCCAAAAAUAUUUUCCUUUCUUCUUUUGCUUGUUGGGAGUUUUCCCGUGUAAAUAGUUUUCUUUUUCUUUGGGUCAAGGUAGAAGAUAUUGGUUACAAUGUUUAGUGGCUCUUGCAUGAAUACAUGUUUAGCUUUCAAAGAGCCAUAUUACUUUGUCUUCUCCUUUGUGUUUGCGUGCAGAUUCAGCUUAGUUCAAUGCACGAAUACUCUUAUUAUUGUUCACAUCGUUCGAUCGUGCAUGUGAAAGGCAAUAAUGAUGAUAUAUGAUGAAGUGACUGAGACUGGAAAAGCUGGUAUGAACUCUAUCUAUUUUGUUUUUGUAAAUAUGACUAGCUUGUCGUCCCAGAUUCAGCUUUAUUGUGAGAAAACCAUGUUUGCAAUGACAACUUAGAUAACAUAGUUUCUGAUGCCAUGCUUAAUUAGCUGAGAGCUUAUAAUGGUUUGUCUUGAAUGCCAACAUAGAUUUUGAGAUGACUAUGAUGUAGUAUGAUAGGAUGGUAUUCUCCUUUGAAUGAUUCAAGUGGCUUGACUUGGCGCAUGUUCAUGCAUGUAGUUGAAACAAAAUCAACAUAGCCUCUAUGCUGUUCGUGUUCAUGGUGAUUUAUAUCCUGUUCAUGCUUGCACUCAAUGUUAGUCAAACUCAUUGCAUCUUGAUGACUAUUGUCGCUCUCUAGUUGGUCGCUUCCCAGUCUUUUGCUAGCCUUCACUUGUACUAAGUGGAACACUGCUUGUGCAUCCACUUCCAUAAACCCAAUAGUUUUUCCAUGAGAGUCCACCAUACCUAGCUAUUGGCGGUAUCUACCUGCCGUUCCAAGUAAAUUUGCAUGUGCCAUUCUCUAAACCUUCAAGAAAUAAUCUAUUUUGCAUGCCCGAACCGCUCAUGUGGUGACAGGGGGCUAUUGAUAUCUUCCAUGUUAGGCGUGCUAUCCUCGACAUGUGUUUAUUCACUGUCAUUCAUGAGAAAGGGGCUGGUAAUUGGAAUACCCAGUUCCACGCUUAAAUCAAAAACAUAAUUGUAAAACAAGACUCCCCCCGGAUUGAUGUUAGUAUGGACGGUACCCGAGGAUUUGGCUCGUCGUGGAGUGUGAUUGAUUGGUGGUGGGGGAGUUAAAACAUUACUUUUCUAUUUGGGAACCGCAUAUAGCAUGAGUAGCAUGGAAGAUAUUGAGAACUCUUGGUCAUUGCAUUGACACUGGAAGCAUGCCACCCAAAAUUAUUAUCUCUAUUUACAAAGCUUGAGCUCUGGCACCUCUGCAAAUCAAUGCUUCCCUCUGCGAAUGGCCUGUCUAUUUAUUUUCCUGUUGAGUCAUCCUAUUCUUGUAUAAUUACCAAUUAGGGAGCACCUCUAUCAUUUUUAUGCUUUGCUUUUAACUGUGUUGAGUAUGACUAUGACUGGAUCUUCUUUGCCUUAAAUUAUAAUGUUGAGUCAGCCCUUGGUCUUUGAAGGUGCUCUGCAUUUAUGUUUUGCGGUCUUAGAAAGAGCUAGCGAGAUACCAUCUGUUCAUACUGCUUCAUGUUGUUUUGGUUGAAGUGUUGACGUUUGAGAUUUAUUAUUAUUUUCUCGCUAGUUGAUUAUGCCAUUGAUAUGAGUUUACCGUGAGACCUAGAUGUCAUUUGCUUAUGUGGUUUGUUUGGAUCUUGCUGAAAUUUUGGUUAUGAGUUAGACAUAGUUGCAACAACAAGAUCAAACAGUGUUCGUCAAAGUUUUUCUUUUGUCUCUUUCAGUUUGUCAUCCGAAUUUUUUGAGGACAAGCAAGGCUUUAAGCUUGGGGGAGUUGAUACGCCUCCGUCGUAUCUACUUUUCUGAACUCUUUUGCCCUUGUUUUGGACUCUAAUUUGCAUGAUUUGAAUGGAACUAACCCGGACUAACGUUGUUUUCAGCAGAAUUGCUAUGGUGUUGUUUUCGCGCAGAAAUAAAAGUUCUCGGAAUGACCUGAAAAUUUAUGGAGAAUUUUUCUGGAAUUAAUGAAAAAUACCUGCGCAAAGAUCCACCGGGGGAGGUGAGCUAGUGGGCCACAGGCCCAGGAGGCGCGGCCACCCCCUGUGGGUUAGUUUUGACGGGGAUUGAUCCCUAGUAUCCACUAUGUUCUGAGAUUGAUGUUGCUACUACUUUGCUAUGCUUAAUGCUUGUCACUAGGGCCCGAGUGCCAUGAUUUCAGACCUGAACCUAUUAUGUUGUCGCCAAUAUAUGUGUGUGUUAGAUCCUAUCUUGCAAGUUGUAGUCACCUACUCUGUGUUAUGACCCGGCAACCCCGGAGAUGACCAUAGUAUGAGGAGUUCAUGUAUUCACCAAGUGUUAAUGCGUUGGUCCGGUUCUUUAUUAAAAGGAGAACCUUAAUAUCCCGUAGUGUCCAUUAGGACCCCGCUGCCACGGCAGGGAUGGACAAUAGAUGUCAUGCAAGUUCUUUUCCCUAAGCAUGUAUGACUACAUACGGAAUACAUGCCUACAUUAGAUUGACGAACGGGAGCUAGUUACAUAUCUCUCUGUGUUAUAACUAUUGCAUGAUGAAUCACAUCCGGCAUAAUCAUCCAUCACCGAUCCAAUGCCUACGAGUCUUUUACUACUAGUCCUUGCUACGUUACUCUGUCACUACAGCUAUUACUGUUUCUACUCCUUCUAUCAUACUACCUUGCUACUGAUACUUUGUUGCAGCUACUAAAUCUUUCAGGUGUGGUUGAAUUGGCAACUCAACUGCUAAUAUUUCAGAAUAUUCUUUCGCUUCCCCUUGAGUCGAAUCAAUAAAUUUGGGUUGAAUACUCUACCCUCGAAAACUGUUGCGAUCCCCUAUACUUGUGGGUUAUCACCACGCAUGCUCUUUUGAUCGGUCUCUCUCAUCAUCUCUCUCGAUCGGUCUCUCUCGGGAGAUAUAUAGGUGAGUAAAAAAAGUUGUUCAUUUAAAGAAUGGGAAUAUGUGUGUGAAUGAGAAUAUGUGUGGAUGUUUAUGUUUUGCCGAAAUGUCCUCGAGUGUGACAUGCCCUCGAGUUGCUUAUGUUUUGCCGAAAUGUCGAUUUAUUUCCGUUUCGGUGAAUUUCGAGCAAACUCACUAUGUCCUAUUUUUAGGCAAGGUCAUGCCAAAAAUUUAUAUAACUUUGGAGCAUGCAUGCAUUAUUUAUACCCCUUUUAAUUGUUGUACCGUGUAGUCGGUCAUGAAGGUGAGUGGAUGGAAGGUGGAGUGGUACAUGCAAUCCGCGGUGACAGACAUGUAUGCAAAUAACCGGACUAGGAUUAGAUGUCCGUGUGCAACAUGCAAGGAGGGAGUCCUUUUGGACCCUUUUGAUCGUGGCACUUUGAAGGCGCACCUGCUGAUGAAUGGUUUCACGGAUGGCUAUACUGAGUGGAUAAGUGAAGAAGAUGAUGAUGAUGAGGACGUCCAAAUGGCAGGGAAUAACGACAUGGGGCUAGACGAAGAGAUGACCGAUCGACACGAAGACGAUGGUGCCGGACAUGGCAGCGGGGAAGAGUCCGGAAAUGAUGGCGACAGAGAAGAUUCCGGACACGGCGAAGAAUAGUCCGGACAUGGCAGAGAAGAGGUGGUGGUCACGCCGCAGUCUUCGACGCUAGUAACUGCAGUUGUGCAAGACCCUCUUGUUCAAGACCUCCUUCGCAAGAGUACGACUAGCGAGAGAGUUGCUUCUAGAGAGGAGACCAGUAGCGCUGCCCAUACCAGCGCUACUACUAGGGUUUACCUGUAGCGCGAUAGUAGUAGCGCUUAGCCCAGCGCUACUUCUAUGCAUAUUUCAAGCGCUACUACUAGGGCUUUCCCUAGUAGUGUCCAAGCAUUACUUUGUUUUACUUAAUACUCUAGAUGCAUGCUGGAUAGCGGUCGAUGGCUGGAGUAAUAGUAAUAGGUGUAGGCAUGAGUUGGCCUAUUUUCUUAUGGGUGUGAUGCCUCUAUACACAUGACCAUUGUCGUGAAUAUCACAUAACUAUCUGCUUUCCUAUCAAUUGCCCAAUAAUAAUUUGUUUACCCACCGUAUGCUUACUUUCAUGAGAGAUGACACUAGGGAGAACUAUGGCCCCAGGGUCUAUUUACUUAUAAGUUUACAAAAGAUACAAUACAUUUUUGUUCCUCUUUACUUCUUUUUUUGCAAUUCGCAAUUAUCUACUACCAACCACACUAAUUACAAGCUUGCAAAUAAUGAGUCGAGGGGGAUUGUCAACCCUAUUGUCCGUGUUGGGUGCAAGUGUUUGCUCUUUUGUGCGUUGCCGCUGAAGAAGGGGGUGGUUGUUACUCCUAUUGGUUCGAUAAACCUUGGUUCUCUACUAAUGGAAAUACUUACCUAUAUUGUGCUGCAUCACCUGUUCCUCUUCAAAGAAUACCCAACGCAAAUUACAAGUAGGAGGAAGGAUUUCUGGCGCGUUGCAAGGGAAUAUCAUCAACCUACUAUCAAGUAAAUUCACACGAAUUAUCAUUCACUUGUUCUUAUUGUUAUACGUUGUUAUGUUUUGCUUGCUUCAUAAAAUCAAAAAUACAAAAAUAUUUAUAUUUUCUAGUUGCUAGUUUACUUUUUUGCUUGUCAUACUUGCUAUUUUACUUGUCGUGCUUGUUACUUUGCUUGCUCGGUCACCAUGCCUCAAGAGACUACUAAGUUGUGUGACUUAUGGAAUACUAAUGACAAUGAUUUUAUUAGUAAUUCUAUACCACACGCCACUAGUGCGGAGGCUUGUGAUAUAAAGGUGGCAUCGCUGGAUCUUGUCAUGAAAGAACAAUUUUUGGGAAGUCCUAAUUAGGAUCCCGGUGCUCAUCUUAAUACCUUUGUUGAACUUUGUGAUGUGCAAAAUAAAGUCAACAUGGAUAAUUAUAUUAUGAAGUUAAAGUUAUUUCCUUUUUCACUAAGAGAUCACUAGUGCAACGAUGUGCUAUACAAACGGUUUUUAACCCCUUUCUGCGAUGACAUUUUAAACAGUCGCCUAGUGAGUCUGGGCGAUAGGGCGGUCCUUCCCACACGAACCAGAAAUUGUCAGGGAUAGGUCCUCCGGUCACACACACUGCACAAAAUCAGCUCAUGUGCGAUCAAGCUAGCCAUCGUAUACAAUUAUACAGGCUCAAUGGUGUAGCUUCAGCAUUCAUUUACACCAUAUAGGCAUAUAGCUAGCUACCCCAUUACACAUCUGUGCUAGCACCAGGUUUCACAUGCAACAUCUAUAACCUUUUGAAAUUAGCAUCAUGGACGGUAGAUAGACAGAUGAAUCUCAUCUGGAAAACUACUGAAGGAGAAGGAGAAUAUUGAGCCUUCUUUGAUGUUGAAGGUCUUUGAAACUUUAGGCCACUACUUGUGGAUGAUUGACCGUCCAUCCUUCAUCCUCUUCAGGAACACUUCAAGAUUGGUCCAUGGGUGUUGUAUGAAUACCUUCCUUGCCUCCUGACCAUACACAUGGUUUGAGAGGUAAUCAUGAGUGAACUGCUUUGGAAAGGCCUGAAAACAAGGAUAUGCAUAAAUAUCUUCUCUAAAUUUGAAAUGGCGCAAAGUAAUAAAAAAGAAAAGGUAUAAUAGUUAGUACCUUCCUGUAGUGCACUGAUGUCUUCUUAAUUGUGUAGACAACGAUCUUGUCGUUUUUUGGCGCUAGUUUCUUAAUCCUAACAAUCUUUCUGGGUUUCUUGACUUGACUGAUAUUCAUGGACAACUCAUUUCCCCAUACACUACUGAAACUCAGAAAUUUGCCGUCUGCCACGACGGACGGCAAAGGGGGCAACCACGGACGGCAAAGGCUUUGCCGUCGGCCAGGUGACAGCAAACUAGACGGUAAAAAAAUUCCGGUGAAGAGGUUCUUUGCUGUCUGCUUUUGUAAAGCGGACGGCAAAGAAUCUUUGCCAUGAUGUGGUAGACGGGAAAUUAACUGGGACGGCAUAUACUGCAACGGCUCCGUUAAGUGUUAACGGCAGGCGUCCUCUCUUGGCCGUCUGCCCACCCCCCUUUGCCAUGUGGGGGCAGACGGCAAAGAGGGGAGAGAGGGGCAGAUUCCCACGUUUGCCGUGUGCCCACCCCCGUUUGCCAUGUGGGGGAAGACGGCAAAGAGGGGAGAGAGAGGGGGCAGAUUCCCCCCUUUGCCGUCUGCCCACCCCCCUUUGCCAUGUGGGGGCAGACGGCAAAGAGAGGAGAGAGAGGGGGCAGAUUCCCCCCUUUGCCGUCUGCCUAAACCCCUUUGCCAUGUGGGGGCAGACGGCAAAGAGGCGAAUCUGCCCCAUUUUAAUUUAUUUUUUAUUAUGUCCAGCAUUUUUAACAAUAAUCAGGAUAUAUAUAUAUAUAUUUGACAUAAAUAAAUUUCUUUCCAUACUUAUAACCAUAUUAAAAUAACUCUCAUCCAUAGUGCAUACAUAUUAUGCAAGUCGCAUUAGUACCAAACCAUAUAUUACACCAGUUUCAUCAACAUGCAUACAGAGUUUCAUAUAUAUCCAUAUACUACAAUAGUUUCAAUACAAGCCAUGGUACUAGAAAUCAUCUUCAAGCAUUGCAUCUAUAUAAUCCAAUCUUCCCGUGAAGUGAAGGUAAUCUGCAAAAUGAAAAAUAAGAAAGUUAGAAGAAUAAUACUAGAUGAAGAAGUGUAUAUAUAGGUUAUUUCAGAGACAAAUUAGCUAAGUAUAGACCAUUUAGGAGCUAACUAAGCUAAUUAUGUCAUUUAGGUGGAACUCUAGCUAACUAUACGUCAUUUUACAGCUAACUUGGGUAAAAUAGGUCAUUCCGGAGCAAACUAUGCUUAUUAAGCCAUUUUGGAUCUAGCUAGGCUAAUUAUAGGCCAUUUAAUACCUAAGUUAGGGGGAAUAGGUCAUCUUGCAGCUACGUAAGCCUUAUUAUGUCAUUUAGGAGAACUUAGCUAACUGUAGGUCAUUUUUAUUAAAUAGGUCAUUUUGGAGCUAACUAAGCUAAUUAUGUCANNNNNNNNNNNNNNNNNNNNNNNNNNNNNNNNNNNNNNNNNNNNNNNNNNNNNNNNNNNNNNNNNNNNNNNNNNNNNNNNNNNNNNNNNNNNNNNNNNNNAGGAGAGAGAGGGGGCAGAUUCCCCCCUUUGCCGUCUGCCUAAACCCCUUUGCCAUGUGGGGGCAGACGGCAAAGAGGCGAAUCUGCCCCAUUUUAAUUUAUUUUUUAUUAUGUCCAGCAUUUUUAACAAUAAUCAGGAUAUAUAUAUAUAUAUUUGACAUAAAUAAAUUUCUUUCCAUACUUAUAACCAUAUUAAAAUAACUCUCAUCCAUAGUGCAUACAUAUUAUGCAAGUCGCAUUAGUACCAAACCAUAUAUUACACCAGUUUCAUCAACAUGCAUACAGAGUUUCAUAUAUAUCCAUAUACUACAAUAGUUUCAAUACAAGCCAUGGUACUAGAAAUCAUCUUCAAGCAUUGCAUCUAUAUAAUCCAAUCUUCCCGUGAAGUGAAGGUAAUCUGCAAAAUGAAAAAUAAGAAAGUUAGAAGAAUAAUACUAGAUGAAGAAGUGUAUAUAUAGGUUAUUUCAGAGACAAAUUAGCUAAGUAUAGACCAUUUAGGAGCUAACUAAGCUAAUUAUGUCAUUUAGGUGGAACUCUAGCUAACUAUACGUCAUUUUACAGCUAACUUGGGUAAAAUAGGUCAUUCCGGAGCAAACUAUGCUUAUUAAGCCAUUUUGGAUCUAGCUAGGCUAAUUAUAGGCCAUUUAAUACCUAAGUUAGGGGGAAUAGGUCAUCUUGCAGCUACGUAAGCCUUAUUAUGUCAUUUAGGAGAACUUAGCUAACUGUAGGUCAUUUUUAUUAAAUAGGUCAUUUUGGAGCUAACUAAGCUAAUUAUGUCAUUUUGUAGGAUAAUUAGCCAAUUUAGCCUUUCUUGGAUGAGUCUAAGCUACGUAGAAGAAGAGAAAGAGAAGAAGAAGUAAAAUAAGGAGGAGGAGAAGGAGAAGGAAGAGGAGAAGAAGAAGAAAAGAAGAAGGAGAAGGAGAAGGAGGAAGAAGAGAAGUAAAAGAAGGAGGAGGAAGAGGAGAAGGAGAAGGAAGAGGAGAAGUAGAAGAAAAGAAGAAGGAGAAGGAAGAAGAAGGAGGAAGAAGAAGGAGAAGGUUUCUUCUUCUUCUCCUCCUUCUUCUCCUUCUUCUUAUCCGCCUCCUUCUCCUCAUUCUUCUUCUCUUCUUCGUCUUCUUCCUUCCUUACAUUUUUCCUCUUUCUUCUCCUCUUGUACCCUUCUUUGGGCUAAAUUGGCUAAGAAUGACUUUUUGGAGCUAAUUAUGUCAUUUCGAGGAUAAUUAGCUAAGUAUAGGUCAUGUUUUAUUAAAUAGACCAUUUAGGAGCUACCUAAGCUAAUUACGUCAUCUAGGUGGAACCCUAGCUAACUAUUGGUCGUUUCGGAGCUAACUUGGGUAAAAUAAGUCAAUCCGGAGCAAACUAUGCUUAUUAAGCCAUUUUGGAUCUAGCUAGGCUAAUUAUAGUCCAUUUAAUACCUAAGUUAGGGGGAAUAGAUCAUCUUGCAGCUCUGUCAGCCUUAUUAUGUCAUUUAGGAGAGAACUUAGCUAAUUGUAGGUCAUUUUUUAUUAAAUAGGUCAUUUUGGAGCUAACUAAGCUNNNNNNNNNNNNNNNNNNNNNNNNNNNNNNNNNNNNNNNNNNNNNNNNNNNNNNNNNNNNNNNNNNNNNNNNNNNNNNNNNNNNNNNNNNNNNNNNNNNNGAGCUCCUUCUCCUUCUUCUCCUCCUUCUUCUCCUUCUUCCUAUCCUCCUCCCUCUCCUUCUUCUUCUUCUUCCUUCCUUUCAUUUUUCCUCUUUCUUCUCCUCUUGUUCCCUUCUUCAGGCUAAAUUGGCUUAGAAUGCCUUUUUGGAGCUGAUUAUGUCAUUUCGAGGAUAAUUUAGCCUUUCUUGGAGGUAACUAAGCUAAUUAUGUCAUUUAGAUGGAAGUCUAGCUAUUUUUAUUAAAAUACUAGAAAUAACAUACCAUUAUCGUCAUCACAACGGUGAAGCAUGGUGGCUCUGGCUUGUUUCACCUGGAGAAGGCUGCCGUGGAGAAGGCUCGACUUUAGAAGGGUCGUGCAAUGCCUUUCAGGAGAUAUUCUGCACCAAACAUCGUUUGCAAUGUGUAGUUAGCAUGAGGACACUCUUAAGAUCACUGCACUGAAAUGAAACUCACCGUCCCCGCCACGUUAUUGACUGGCAUCGGCGGAGGGACUUGGCCGUUCUUCUCGCACAUAGACUGUACAUUUGGUUUAGACAAGUCAAACUUUUUAUUUCUUAAUGAAACGGACAUUCAAAUGCAAGAUUUGAGAUAAGAUGAAGAAGAAGCUUACCACGAAGAGCUCUUAUAUGGCCCUGUUAGACGCAUCAUUCCGUGCCCUCUCCGCCUCCACCAAUGCAGUCGUCCUCUCCUCCAGCUCCCUAAUUUCCUUAUCCUUCUCCGCCAUAGCCGCCUGCAUUGCCUCUCUCUCUUUCUGAAUAGCAGCAUGCAACACAACUCAUUGUUAGCAAUGUAAUCAUAUUGGUUCCAACGCACAACAUAAUGCGGAAAGAUAGUUGAGUCCAUUAAACUAACCUCGAUGGCGAGCUCGACUGGCCGUGGACGACGUGUUAUCUCCGAACAAGAGCUCGUUGGGCGUGCCUUUAUCUGUCGGAGAGUGCUAGGACAACGUAUAAGGCCAUCUCCAAUGGCGAUCGAGCCAUGGGGCCUCCCGUUGCCAGCUAUCAUCACCAGCUCUGGAUCAAUAGGCCCCUCGCUCGGGUUAAAGUCCUCCCCUUUCCUCGCCUUCCCGUGAUCUAUGUGCUUCACGAGCUUGUGGUGGGAGGAGAUGUUGGUGAAGUUUUCUGGAUGCUCGAGGUCAGACUCAGAGAAUGCCUUGACCUUCUUGUACGAGGCAGUAUGGGCCAUCGCAUACAGGUCGUACAUCUGUGGCGCCUCUGUCUUAUUGUGACGAGCCUAAAAGAGAGAGAGAGGAAAAUUGUAUUAGUAAAGGGCUCAAGAUAGCAUUAAGAAUGAAUUGCAUGAGGCAUGAAGCAAACCACAUACCCAGUUCUCGCCAAAUUGGAUUAAGUUCACGCUCCCUUGAUGGUGUGGCACGCCAACCAUUUUGCCACGCCUCUCCUUGGCAUUGUUGUGGCUCGCCUCCCACGUUUCGGAGCACCACUGAUCCACCAAGGCCUCCCAACAAUCCAUCUUAUCCACACACCAUCUCGGGGGCACCUAAGUUAAUAAAGAGAAAUUUGAGCGUGUAAGAACCAAAUCAAGGAAACUAACUACAAAGCCUUAAUAAUAUGUAAUUACCUUCAUGUAAUGCUCCUUCUCCAUCUUAGCAUCACGGCACUUCGCCUUGUCAAGCCUAAUACGCCGCGUGGCAUAGUAGUCUCGAACAGCCUGCACCCGAGCCUCGUGCCGAAAGUUUUGAAGUAGGCGGCGACAUUCGGUUUCGAUAACCUUUGCCGCGUCCUCCUCGUAUCCCUCCUCACACCUGUAGUAGGUCUGCAAACGAUACAAUACCGAUUAGUACAAUAAAUAGCUAUGGUUGAUUUAUAAUUGUGUGAAGGAGAAAUUACCCAGAACUUUCGGAUCACCAUGUCCGCCCUCGUGUCGCACAAAACACCAUCGAUGUCCACCUCCGGCGGGGCCGGGGCACCCAAGUAGUGCUCCCAGGUCAUUCCUACCUCUCGCUCCCGACCGGGCAACGUAACAACCCGUGGGAAGUUUUUACGGCAAAGAACACCAAGGACGCUGUUGGGCUUGCGGACACCCUUGGCAACAAUCCAACCCCUACAGUAUGAAAAAUUAAAGCCAAAACAUUAGAUAUUUGAGAAAAUGCGAAGGCAAAAGGUUAAAUAAGAUUAAAUUAACUUACUUGUCCCCAUUUGGCCUAAUCGACCACCUCUGCUCGGGGGUCGCUGGCACAAGCGGGAGCCCCGAACUACCACGCUGGUAGACGGUAGCCCCCUCACCAAGCUCCUCGUCGCUACCAGCAUCCCACUGGGUCUCUUGGGACAUACCCUCAUCCCUGCUUUGUUCCGGAGUCGCCUGGAAGGAAGCCUCUGGGACACGAGUCUCGUGGGUCGAAGGCUAGUCGACCCGAGGCUCGUGAACCGGAGACCAUGUAGCCUCCACCUCAGACGAAUCCACCCUAGAAGUCUUGUGCUCAGGUGAAUCAGCUUGAGGUGGUGGCGGAGACCAUGUAGCCGCCACCUCAGAAGGCGUGGCAGCCACCGCCCUACCUCUCCCACGGCCAUGUGUACCUUUAGUACAACAUAAAUACCAACAUGAGUAAUAAAAUGUAUAUAAAUAGCAAUAUGCAUACAACAUGAGUACAACAUAAUACCAACAUGAAUACAACGUGUACCUUUAGUGCCUCUCGGCUUCACGGGGGGGCUCUCCAUGCAUACUAGAGAGCAACACUCUCCGAAGAGGCGAGGCACGAAUGGAAGUACCCAUCCCAUCACCCGCCGACGAAGAAGGAGCCGCGGAGUGCUUUCGACCCUUUCCCACCAUCUUUCAACACUUGUCAUGACAAAGAGUAAAUGAAAUUAGUACAACAUAAAUACCAACAGGACUAAUAAAAUGUAUAUAAUUUAAGUGUAUCAUCGUCAUAAAUACCAACAUGACUAAUAAAAAUUGAAUACCUAACAUGAACUCAAAAUUUAUAUAUAGUAUAAUAGUUGAAUACCUGACAUGAACUAAUAACAAUCGUGCUCGUCCAUAUAUGCUUCGGGGUCAAUAAAUGCAUCAUGAUCAUCACUAUCAUCAAUAAAUGCAUCAUCAUCAUCACUAUCACGAAGAACAUGUGGAAGGCCACCAUUAUGUAAUCGGUCAAAAAGUGACACGUCAUCCGCAGUAGUAACCUCUUCUUCUUCCAGCUCUUCAUGUUCGGGCUCAGGGGUUAAGACGGAUUCACUGUCGCUGUCUACUUCAAUGUUCUGGGGUGAAGUAGAGCGGUUCUUGAAACAUUUCUUGGACAUACAUGUUUCUUGGAAGAAUUCUCCUUCAUAUGUGUCUGGGUUAAUGUGAGGUUCGUAAUCCUCUUCAUUGAGGGUAGGUGGUCUAAAAUGUGGUGGCACUUCAUAAACGACAUCCCAACCUUUGAGAUUUGGAUCAGUUUGGCCGACCCACGGUAGAUAGAAAACUUGUGUCGCCUGUUGAGCCGUAAUAUAGACAUCGGGAACAUCUAAGUGGGUGUUUUGGUUGAUUUCGACUAGUCCUAUAUGUUCAUGAGUCCUUCUAGUCUCCCUCGGCUCAAACCAAUAACAUUUGAAGACUACGACGGUCGGUGGGUUUUCACCAUAGAAUAGAAGUUCAUAAAUUGCUGGUCACGCAUACUCAUGAUUGACGAAACCUAUAGCUAGCAAGUUUCAUCGGCACGAAGAUCGGAACAUAGCAAAUUAAGGGAUAGGAGGAGAAGUCAUUUGUGCUCACCAAUAAACGCAGGGGCGGAGCUCGUCCAACGCACGUGGAGGUCGUCGAACAACUGCACAUUGAAAUUCACACGAUCAACACAAAUAUGAUGUUUUUAUAAUUAACAUAAUCGGAAAAUAUGUGGCCUAACUCAUAAUUUACAAGGUCGGUGGUGUCGGGUGCUGGUGGCGUCGGGGGUCGGGGGUUAGUUGCGUCGGUGGUCGGGGUUCAAUGUCGUCGGGGGUCGAGGGUCACUGGCAUCAGGGGUUGGGGUCUUUUCGGUCAACAAGAGGCCGAACAGGUGCUGGGGGUCGGGUGUCGAGGGUCAGUGGCAUCGGGCCUCGAGGGUCGAGGGUCUGGGGUCGAUGGUCGGGGGUCGAGUGUCGGGGGUCGAUCGUCAGUGGCGUCGGGGGUCGAGGGUCGGGGGUCGAUGGUCAGUGGCGUCGGGGGUCGAGGGACGAGGGUGAGUGGCGUCGGGCGUCACGGGUCGGGGGUCGAGGGUGAGUGUCGGGGUGCCGGGGUUCCUUUUUCCUCUUCUUUCUUCUUCUCCUCUCUCUUCUUUUUCUUCUUCUUCUUCUUAUUAUUAUUAUUAUUAUUAUUAUUCUUUUUUCUCCUCCUCCUCCUCCUCCUCUUUUCUAUUUCUUCUUUCUUUUCUCUUUCUCCUCCUCUCCUCUUUCUUCUUUUUCUUCUUCUUCUUGUUCUUCUUUUUUCUUCUAAGUUUUUUGUUUUCUAUCUAUUUUUUCUAUUAUUUCUUUUCUAUCUACUUUAUUCUACCUAAUAAACUAACUAUAUAAUUUAACAGCAAAAAAGAAAAAUCUAACUAUCUAAUUUAACAAGAAAAAAACUAACUUUCUUCUAUUAUUUUUUUCUAAGUUUUUUAUUUUCUAUCUAUUUUUUCUAUCUACUUCAUUCUACCUAAUAAACUAACUAUAUAAUUUAACAGAAAAAAAAGAAAAAAAUACGAACCGGCGACGCAUGGGGCGGGGCGGCGCAGGGAGGAGGGGCGGCGCACGGAGGAGGGGCGGGUGGCGCAGGGUGGUGGCGGAGCAUGGAGGGGCGGCGCAAGGUGGUGGCGGAGCCGGGUGGGGGAGGCGCCGGGUGGNNNNNNNNNNNNNNNNNNNNNNNNNNNNNNNNNNNNNNNNNNNNNNNNNNNNNNNNNNNNNNNNNNNNNNNNNNNNNNNNNNNNNNNNNNNNNNNNNNNNAAGCAGGUCCACCCCCCUCCGUCGCCGCCACCCCGGACCUGCCCAAGCAGGUCCGCCCCACCGCCUAGAACAGGAAGGGACGGCCCUAGCACCACCACGCCUCCACCGCGGACAAGGUCCACGGUCUGGCUUAAAUGUUGUGCUAGUCUGAUUUACUCUUCUUCUAAGUUUGUUGUCGUCGUACUACAUCGUCCUAAAUUCACCAUGGGUUAACAGAGUCUGCCAGCCAAUUUUCGUUCGUUCGUUCGUUGNNNNNNNNNNCUAAGUUUGUUGUCGUCGUACUGCAUCUGUUCUGCACCCUGUCCUAGAUUCAGCAUGGGUUAACAGAGUCUGCCAGCCAAUUUUCGUUCGUUCGUUCGUUGGAUCGUCCAAGUCAAUAUGGGGUUAAAUAUGUCAGAAGUUGGGAUUCGUUAUUGUGUCUAGUAAUCCACCUAUAAUUUUUGCCUUUCUUGUUUAGAAGUUUUCGGUUUGGGGUUCGUCCGUGAUAUGCAACUAGGAGUGCUGCUACUUGGUGUGCUUAGAUGUAUAUACAUCAUCAUCUUCUAUAUCCUUUCUGGACAUAAUGGAUAUUAUAUUAUCCUGCUGGGGAGUUCUUUAGUUAAUUAACUGCAUUUCCUCUGAAGUUG
RNAcentral lists this long non-coding RNA (34353 nucleotides) under Hordeum vulgare. Its description in RNAcentral is "long non-coding RNA (HVUL_LNC013303)". Lineage: Eukaryota; Viridiplantae; Streptophyta; Magnoliopsida; Poales; Poaceae. The record is from RNAcentral.